This 492-nucleotide ribosomal RNA is filed under the name uncultured bacterium. RNAcentral describes it as "partial 16S ribosomal RNA". It matches the Rfam family "Bacterial small subunit ribosomal RNA", at positions 30 to 507 of the family's 1533-position model. The record is from RNAcentral.
AUUGAACGCUGGCGGCAGGCCUAACACAUGCAAGUCGAACGGCUGCACAGUACUUGCUUCCUCAUUCGGCUGCCGACUGGCGGGUGAUGCCUAGGAACCUCCCAAUUUACUUGGUCGUGCGUCAUAACACGGGCAAUCUUACGCCAUUCGCCCAUACGGCGUACGUGUGAGAUCUUCGGAUCUUACGCUCUCGCGCGAGUGUAUGACCGGAUGUCGGAUUAGCUAGUUGGAGGGGUAAAGGCCCACCAAGGCGACGAUCCGUAGCUGGUCUGAGAGGAUGAUCAGCCACACUGGAACUGAGACACGGUCCAGACUCCUACGGGAGGCAGCAGUGGGGAAUAUUGGACAAUGGGCGAAAGCCUGAUCCAGCCAUGCCGCGUGUGUGAAGAAGGUCUUCGGAUUGUAAAGCACUUUAGUUGGGGAAGAAGAGCAGUAAGUUAAUACCUUGCUGUUUUGACGGUACCAACAGAAUAAGCACCGGCUAACUUCGUG